Long non-coding RNA from Pungitius pungitius (ninespine stickleback), 3020 nucleotides. RefSeq lists it as uncharacterized. The transcript is spliced from 3 exons. The record is from RefSeq and is a predicted model, not a curated record. NCBI's taxonomy places the organism in Eukaryota, Metazoa, Chordata, Actinopteri, Perciformes, Gasterosteidae.
CAACAACUCGUUGACCAUGUCUGUGUAUCUUAAUGCUUCAGGUAUGAUGAGGAUGUAAUUGUAAUUGGCACUAUCGCACCGCUGCACAUGGCCCACCGCCAUGAGUCGUCACUCGGCUAUGACGCGAAGCGACACGCCCACAAGGCGCGCAGGAGUUCGCCUCGUCUGGCUAGCAUGCUAAAUGCUAACGUGCCAUGUCAGCGGGGCGUGUGGGGACUCUGUGCUGGUCGGAGUGGUCGCACUGGGACACAGAGGCCCAGUCGACUGGAACAAUGAUGCUGUUGAGUUGGGAGCAUUUUGGACGGACUCUUGAAGGAUCAUUUUGAACAGCAUCCAGAGGAUGUGCUGGGUGGACCCGAGGCACUUUCCAGGAGCUUCCUGUUCCCCAAAAGUCAGAGGAUCUGAGGUUCGAGGACAGUCUCUGGCGACCAAGUUCUUCCCGGCUCGGCUGGUUUCCAGAGAGCACAGGACGGACCGGCAGCAAAGGGCGACUGUGGCCUCACUGAAGACGGUGUGACAGUGGAGGCCAUAAUCCGUGGCUUUCCUGUGCUGACCGCUCUCACAGAGCCCAGCCGGUGUUGGGUUUCCCUGCGAGCAGCUGGGCGAGGGUAUUUUGUGGUCCUCUUCAGUCCUCUUUGAAAGAGGAUAAGUCAGGAUAGGGUCCCUCCGUGAGCCCCUGAGGACCCUGCCGCUGCAUCGAAAACUCAAGAGAGACGUCCCUGUUGCGGCCGGCAUGAGCAGCUGGGAGACUUUGGCAGCAGGUGAACACAGCACCAGUGUGAAGGAGAAUAUCUGGCAAGAGAAGUGGAAGGUCUUGAAACAAUGUGGGAACUCAGGGUGUUAUAGAAUGGUUAAAAACCCCAAUGUUUUCAGUUUAGGAAGGUCCAGACAGGGAGGAUGUGCAGAGUAAUGCUUUUCCCCCCACAGAGGAAAUGGACAACUUUAGGAAGGGCCUUGACAGUGUGUCAAUUGGCCUGUCAUUCUAAGUGAUCUAUUUUUUCUUAAUUUUAGAAAGGCCUCAUGGUAUAAAUGGUUUCCUUGUAUUUUGCCUGGCCACACAGCUGGUGGAAAAUAGCUCUGUAGUGGGUUUUGCUUGGCCAGGCCGCUCAGUUUUAUUGGGAGGCCUGCACUGAAGGAUGAGUCGCACAGUCUGACUGGAGCGCGCCCAAGGCCUCUGGACAUCACACAGGCACUAAAAUCCAUAUGAAAGAUGUAUAAACAGCGACCGGUGUUUAUUUACUGCAUUCGACCCUCCUGUAUGUACCCGGUUCUUGCUAACUCUUACAAAAUUGAAGCCUGAUUGCAUUACUCUCAGUUCACUUUCAAAGAAUUAUGCAGCAUAUCCCAACACAGACAGACACACAAACAAAAGAACUAAAUACAUUAUACAUUACUCUGCAAUACAUUACUCUGCAAAAGUUACAGUGCCUUGUUUGCCCCGUCUCACUGCCAUAUGGCGCAGAUGUAACGUGUAUGUAUGGAUUCAUCUUUGCAAUGACACAAGUAGGCCAGCAGGACGUUAGUGUUUGAGGGCUCCCAUAACUUUUGAUUCAACACGUUUGUAAGUAAAAGUUAGGUACUGAACACAUACAAUUUUUUGCACUGCUGGUGGUGAAAGUUUUAUGGAUUAUAUUUCAGGAAAAUGCCCUUGCUGCGUUUGAACAUCCUAUACUCUAAUAUUCAUUCUCUGAGUACUCAACUUGUGGUUUAAAGGCGGCUGGGCACAUGAAAUGUACAUGUCAGCAGAAUUCUCAUCACUAUUGUGAAGAAACAUCUAGAGCUAUUCCCUUAUUUUUCUCUGGGAAAUCACAGAGCUGUGAUUAUGCUGCUGAGGUGGUCGAAAUAGGAGCCUGGGGAUUUUGAGACUGCUCUGAAUCUGGGAAAGGCAUGUCUGCUUCUGCUCCUCUGGGUUGGCGACCGACCUGUGAUAAUCCAAGAGAAGAGUGUCCACCGCAAACCACAAAACAGCUUCGCACACAACCGUACCACCCAAGUUAGCCCCAAGCAGUAGUUUGACAAAAUGAAGGCUAUGAAGAGGCAUAUUUGUGCUUCUAUUCAAGGCAGCUGAACAAGGGCACAAAUAAAAUCAAAGAUCAAAAAAAGUUUAGCAGUGCAUUAUUUUAUAUUCGCAAUAAGUAUAUAAUCAUGACACUCGGUUCCAAGCAUUUUUUUCACUCACUUUGCAUUGAUUUAUUUAUAUUGAUCUAACGGGAUGUAGUAUGGUUUUUUUCAGAAAGUGAACAGCGGGUAUACCUCAAGGAUCGGUGUUGGGUCCCUUACAAUUACACCACAACAGUGUCAAGCUAUAGAGUGGCAGAGGUGUAAACACACAGUUUAAAAACUUUUAGCUAAAUGUAACAAAACCAAUAUUUUUGUAUUGUUUAUUUUGUAUUCUUUCUUUUAUUUUGUCUAAUCUGUGCUGACAUUGCUAUGUAAUGCACUUUGUUUAUACUGUUGAUGUAAUGUUGUUCUUUUGAUUGUCCAAUUGGGAUUGUGGUACAAUACAUUGAUGUUUAUUAUCAUCCAUUGGCCCGUACUAGUAACGCAUGAAACAUGUUUUAUGUCACACCAUGAAGUUGCUUUAAACAAUCAUCUGACAAACAUUAAAUGCAUUAGCUUCUGUGUAAAAUGUUAUAUUUGACAUGUGCACUUGCUUUACUGUACUCCUGCAUUUUCUAAAUGGUUAUUUUAGAUGGAAAAACAGCCUAACUUUCAGAGAGAAAACUCACAUAUUUCCAAUCCUUUAAAUCUCCGCUCUGAGCCUUCAUGUUUUCAAUUUCAUCAGCUCAUAAGUUACGUGUCUUACACUAUCUGUCACAGCAUGUCCAGUACGUGUGGAAUGAUUUUUACCACGGCACAUAUUUUCUUCUUUUCUCACUGUGCGGGCACCUUGAGUUACAGCCACUUCAAAGUCUGGUGUUAGUGGUCCAUUACCUCUAGUAAUUAAAGUGUCGGUUUAAAUGGCAUCUCGCUGCUUUCUCUGGACUGUGAAAAAAAACAAUAAAAGGCAGAAAUUUCAU